CUUACACAUGAAAGUCGAACGGCAGCAUGGGUGCUUGCACCUGAUGGCGAGUGGCGAACGGGUUAGUAAUGCAUCGGAACGUACCCGGAAGUGGGGGAUAACGUAGCGAAAGUUACGCUAAUACCGCAUAUUCUGUGAACAGGAAAGCGGGGGAUCGCAAGACCUCGCGCUUCCGGAGCGGCCGAUGUCGGAUUAGCUAGUUGGCGGGGUAAAGGCCCACCAAGGCAUCGAUCCGUAGCGGGUCUGAGAGGAUGAUCCGCCACACAGGGACUGAGACACGGCCCAGACUCCUACGGGAGGCAGCAGUGGGGAAUUCUGGACAAUGGGCGCAAGCCCGAUCCAGCCAUGCCGCGUGAGUGAUGAAGGCCUUCGGGUUGUAAAGCUCUUUCGGCUGGGAAGAAAUCGCAUCUCCUAAUACGGCGUGUGGAUGACGGUACCAGCAUAAGAAGCACCGGCUAACUACGUGCCAGCAGCCGCGGUAAUACGUAGGGUGCGAGCGUUAAUCGGAAUUUCUGGGCGUAAAGCGUGCGCAGGCGGUUUCGUAAGACAGACGUGAAGUCCCCGGGCUCAACCUGGGAACUGCGUUUGUGACUGCGAGGCUAGAGUAUGGCAGAGGUGGGUGGAAUUCCACGUGUAGCAGUGAAAUGCGUAGAGAUGUGGAGGAACGCCGAUGGCGAAGGCAGCCCCCUGGGCCAAUACU
RNAcentral lists this ribosomal RNA (700 nucleotides) under uncultured bacterium. RNAcentral's name for it is "bacterial SSU rRNA". It matches the Rfam family "Bacterial small subunit ribosomal RNA", at positions 48 to 741 of the family's 1533-position model. The record is from RNAcentral.